AUGGUCAGCCAUGGAAACUACAGCUUAACUUGGAGCACGGAUCGGGGCCAAAACACGGAGCUUCGAGGAAACUCUGCAGCGUGCAAGAAAAAAGACGGACUGGAUUAGCCUUUUUGCGCUCUUUGUAUUGGUGCCAUCGUCUCGGGUUCACUCCAGCGUUUAACUGUCGAUUGGACAAGAUGACAUUUUGACUAUUUAGGGGGGGUUUGUUCUGAACAUUUAUCAUUUCUGCGUCGUCUUUGCAAUACGUUUAUCUGCGUUUAAACGGAUACGAUUUUGGAUUUAAAGGGGUAGUUCAGCUCAGGCAAAAAAUAAAACCGGUGUCAUCUUUUACUUACCCUCUCGUUGUUCCAAACCCGUUUGACUUUCUUUCUUCUGCUGAGCACAAAAGUAGAUGUUAGGCUGUAUGAUAAAGUCUGACAGCCUCACACACUAUCUUUUUUCCCCAUACAAUGAAAGUGAAUGGUGACUGAGAAAAAGAAAGUCUUAAAUGUUUGAAACAACAACAGGGAUUCUUGUUGUGUUCUUUUUGGCAGGACUAGGCCUUUUUGACUAUGUUUUCAGUCCCAACAGCAUCUGUCUGGCUGUCUGCUUGUGCUGCCGAAAAGCUGUCGCCGAAAGAGGAUAAUUUGUGCAAAAAUCAACCUAAGAAAUGGUCAAAAUCACACGCAGCGCACCAGAGCUGCUUGGCCGUUGUCAUGGAUAACAUGGUGGGCACCCUGUCUUGGUCAGCGGGAUGUCCUGCAGAUUGAGCUGGGCACCCCGCAGAGCCACGGAGCGGCCUUUAAAAUUGACCCCCUGUGGAGGACCGGGGCCCCUCUUGUCUCGUCUGAGCGCACGCCUGGAGACCGCUUUUAAAUGUGCUUUUGGUGUCCCAGAGAGAGAGGCCGCUGGCACGAAGGGGCGAAUGCUCACCGCAGUGGUCCCUUUUUCUCGGAUAAAUUCAAAGGAGGAAAAUAGCCCACAUUACAAGCUCCUUAAGGGUCAAGGACAGCCAAGACAUGAAUGGUUUGAAAGAGUGGCAUUGUGAAAUCACAUAGCAAGCGGUUACACCCUCUGUCAUCUUUUUACGGAUUUGCAUUUUUCUUGUGCCACAAUGAACAGUUCAGAAUAAGACUUACAAGACAUGUGGAUGAAAUUAAUUAAGACGCUGGAGAAAAAGAGGUGUGAACCGCAAAUGCGGUGGUCCUGUUUGGAAUAGACGCCGAUGCUAUUUAAGGACUAUUUUAAUGAGUGGCAAAUAAUUUUUUGAGCUUGGAUGACUGCAUGCGAUUUGAAAAAUAUUGAAUGCUUAGAAGAGGAAGAAAAUCCCUCAUUGGAUAUUAUAAGGAGGAUGGCAUUUGCAACACUUGAUUUCACUGCUAACUGAAUUCAAAUGGUGUCAGUAUUGGCUGGUAUUUUCCUUCACGCAGGAGGGACGGUGGUAGAUUGAUGCCCUAACAUUAUUCAUUAUUCAAAAUUUAGCAAUAACUCAACAGCGUUUUGUCCUUUCGCUCAUCCAUCUCCUCUCUCGCCGUACCUAGGUAUGCUGCUAUUCUUAUGCGACUAUCAUCCAUUGGACAGUGCGGCCCCAGAAAGCACCCUUUAAACACUCCCCCAUUGUACUGUCACAAGCCUGGAGAGUUCAUGUUAUAUUUAUGUUGCCUACAGCGUAUUCUCUCUGUUCUGUUCAGCUGAACUAACGCCAACUCCUCCAGGUCCCCCCUCCACAGACAAUGUUACAUCUCAUUGGCUUUGCCCUAGAUAGGCUAUUUUUGUAUGAAAUAAUUAGACAUAACUGAUUUAAAUACUGCAAAGCCAACACUCUUUUGUCUCGUUUACAAAGUGCAGGAGAGGCACACGCUUACGGUGUCAUUUCUGUCAAUCCGUACAAGGAGGUUAAAAAUACAAAUGCGUUUCAAGCUAAUGGAUCUGAAGCAGGGCCAAGAAAAAUUAGCAGUUUUAUUAGCUUCCUUCGAUUCGGGUUUUACUUUCGGGACUGAGCUACGGUGACCUGACCUGAUAAAAUCUAUUAUGAAAGCAAAAAAUGUCAGGAAAGCAUUGCCCGAAGCUUUUAAUUGUCUCAACGUGCACAUCAGCAAAAUAUAGGAUUGCUAAAAUAUGCCGCUGUACAGCACUAAUUGUCCAUGUAAGGACAGCACGGCGCUUAAAACAGCACGUUUUGUUUGUUACAGUGACCCCAGACCCAGACAGCCGUGCUGAUGCCGAGUGCACACGAGGGAGAGGUGGAGAGCAGGAACGCAGAUUGGGGCUGACCGCUCGGCUGCACUUUAAUGUACCCUCUACUUCAUCAGUCCUGAUUAGCCACCAUAUAAAUCCAGAUUGAACGUUACAUUUUUACUGCUGAUUGUCUUCCAAACACUCUCAGGUGUUGGCGUGUUAAAUGCCAGGGUGUGCAUCUGUCCUCGCAUCCCUUCAGCUUGCUGCAGUGAGACGUCUGACUUGAAAAAUGGGGACCCUCUUCAGAAACGAAAGCAAUGCAGAACAAAUUUCAGGCUUUUAGGCUUAACACGUCUUGUGCCAAAACCUCAAUAACAAGCCCCCCUCCAGCCCCCGUUUCCCUGGCUCUUGCCCCAGACUUACACAAAGAAACACCAGCUUUAUGGACUUAGGGCAUUAAAGCAUAAAAAACAGUGGACAGAGAACAGGUUCGGAACACAUGGCGCCAAACGUGGGGCACGAUCGCGUCAGAUCACACAGGCUAUACACCUUAACGCUCCAAUUCUUAGGUACACAGCCAUGUUUUCAAAAGGGCACAUGAAAGGGCUUAGCGAGAGAGAGAGAGAUGAGCAACAGCAGCGAGGAGGCCGGCGCUCCAGCAAAAAAACGCUUUUCUGAUGAGCUGCAACAAUGCACUCACUCCCACGACAUCGGCUCUCUGUUGGGAGUCUCCUCCUAAUUUCCUCCAUCCAUAAUAAAAAGAGAUACAUUAAACAGUGCCAUUAGUGCCAGCAAUUUGUUUUAUUCUCCACAGAAAGAGAAAUGUUAUCUGUGGCGGACAAACUUAACCCAAUUAAAGCUCAUUGUGUAUGGGGGCCUUGCUGGGUCUUCAGCUGAUGCCUAGGAACGAGGGCAGAGGAAGCCAACUUUGGGGAGGGAGGGGGGGGGAAGAGAACGGCUGGAACACGUCUGGAGAAUUAGGGAAAGUAGGAGAGAGACAAAUGUGCUAUCAGGAAAAAAAGACGGGAAGAGAAAUUAUGUUUUUGUACGUUUCCCCCCACAUCAAUUCCCUCCCAAGAUGGUCUGGUAGAAAAAUACUGCACAAAAUAUACACGGCUAAUUUGGCUCUUAAAUAAUUAGAGUGAAUGCAAAACCUUUUCAUCAAAUUGAAAAGGGGAGGAAAUGCAAACAAAGUCACACGUUCUGAGUCAUUCGUUCAUACCCUCACAAUUUUGCUGUUAAUUGUUGUGAUAACACCUCUCGAUUACAGGGGUUUAAUUAUCAACAUGUUUGGCUGUUAGACCCAGUACCUGGCACAGAUCCUGGUGAAGGGCUCAAGGUUUUUAAUGAAGAUCUCACUCACAGCAGCAUACAGGAGCUCAGUGUGGUGCUGUCCUAACAAAGAAGCACAUCGUGUUUAGAAACGACCUGGGUAUCUGUGAAUUCUAACACAAUAAUGCCAAGAAUAUUCAUAGUGAUACAUUUUGAUUGAUAUCCAGUUGUGCGGGAAUGGCAAGUGUUCUGUCUCUGUGGGGGGGGGGGGGGGGGGUGAUUUUGUGUGAUUGAGGAAUUGUAACAGUAACUGAAUCGCAUAUCUUGGGACACAAAUGAGGCAUGUCUUCCCUUCUGUGACGGCGAAAGCUGGUUUCACUCCGUUUGACUGGUAAUCCUUCCAUCGACUACUGCAUUUAUCGGCUUUAGUGGAGUCGUUUUUU
Long non-coding RNA from Carassius gibelio (silver crucian carp), 3875 nucleotides. RefSeq lists it as uncharacterized. NCBI's taxonomy places the organism in Eukaryota, Metazoa, Chordata, Actinopteri, Cypriniformes, Cyprinidae. The transcript has 2 exons. The record is from RefSeq and is a predicted model, not a curated record.